RNAcentral lists this ribosomal RNA (482 nucleotides) under uncultured bacterium. Its description in RNAcentral is "partial 16S ribosomal RNA". It matches the Rfam family "Bacterial small subunit ribosomal RNA", at positions 30 to 507 of the family's 1533-position model. The record is from RNAcentral.
AUUGAACGCUGGCGGCAUGCCUUACACAUGCAAGUCGAACGGUAACGGGCCUUCGGGUGCCGACGAGUGGCGAACGGGUGAGUAAUACAUCGGAACGUGCCCGAUCGUGGGGGAUAACGAGGCGAAAGCUUUGCUAAUACCGCAUACGAUCUACGGAUGAAAGCAGGGGACCGCAAGGCCUUGCGCGGACGGAGCGGCCGGUGGCAGAUUAGGUAGUUGGUGGGAUAAAAGCUUACCAAGCCGACGAGCUGUAGCUGGUCUGAGAGGAUGAUCAGCCACACUGGGACUGAGACACGGCCCAGACUCCUACGGGAGGCAGCAGUGGGGAAUUUUGGACAAUGGGCGCAAGCCUGAUCCAGCCAUGCCGCGUGCAGGAUGAAGGCCUUCGGGUUGUAAACUGCUUUUGUACGGAACGAAAAGCCUUCUUUUAAUACAGGAGGGUCAUGACGGUACCGUAAGAAUAAGCACCGGCUAACUACGUG